AAAGAAAAGGAGAGACCGGGCUUUUUUGGUGUGGAAAGGAGCUUGGCCUCAACCCUGGAGGAGGCUGGGAAAGAAGUGGAUGUGCAUUCUGAAAACGGGCUGUUUUCCAGGAGGUGUCAGAAAAUUCAAGCCACCUACACCCAGAGCCAGUGCCAGUGAAGUGCUGAGCAUACACACCAGUUCAUACCAGUUCACACCAGUGGAAAGCUGACUCUGCCACAGACGCUCUCACCUGCGACCACAGGGGUAGAGGUGCCCGGCCCCUGCCACAGGUGUGCUCUGCUGCCCCCUGGCUCCACUGUGACAGCUUCUGGAAUAUUCCCUCACCCGCCUCCCAGCAACCGUAAAACCAAAGGGUGGAUCACAGAAGACGUUUUGAUCACAUGAGAUUGGAGGACAGAGGUAAAGAUGCAACUGCUUGUUUUGACCUUGGAAGGUGAGGGCAGGACCACUGUGUGUUUUUGUAGCUCACAAGACUUGGGGCUCGUCUGUGGGCGGAACUCCUUGGAGUGAAGAGGUCGGCUGUAGCCACUCUCAGCUUAGAAAAAAUUCU
Molecule: non-coding RNA, 553 nt
Organism: Kogia breviceps (pygmy sperm whale)
Lineage: Eukaryota; Metazoa; Chordata; Mammalia; Artiodactyla; Physeteridae
Source: RefSeq, a predicted model, not a curated record